RNAcentral lists this transfer RNA (71 nucleotides) under Homalodisca vitripennis (glassy-winged sharpshooter). RNAcentral describes it as "tRNA-Ala". It matches the Rfam family "tRNA". From Rfam's summary of the family: Transfer RNA (tRNA) molecules are approximately 80 nucleotides in length. Their secondary structure includes four short double-helical elements and three loops (D, anti-codon, and T loops). The record is from RNAcentral. Lineage: Eukaryota; Metazoa; Arthropoda; Insecta; Hemiptera; Cicadellidae.
GGCUCUGUGGUGUAAUGGUAGCACAUUCACCUGGCAAGUGAGAGAUCCAGGUUCGAGUCCUGGCAGAGCAA